Fundulus heteroclitus (mummichog) is the source of this 276-nucleotide RNA transcript. RefSeq lists it as uncharacterized. The transcript has 3 exons. The record is from RefSeq and is a predicted model, not a curated record. NCBI's taxonomy places the organism in Eukaryota, Metazoa, Chordata, Actinopteri, Cyprinodontiformes, Fundulidae.
CUUACCUGGGACAAGGUGAGACACGGACGGGACAUGUGGAGGGAGGAAGCAGAAGGUAAGAGGCAGAGGAGAACCGCAGAAAGACUUGGACCCACCUGGACUCUACAGCCAGGUGGCGCCGCCUGUUGGCCACCUGGCAGAAUGCAUGUUGAUGACGUAUCUGCCUUGGCGUCAUAACUCAGACCCAGAGACGCUUCAGGCUGAAGGGACUGAGCAGAACCGGACCGGAUCGGGCCGGGCCGGGCCGACCUGCGGCUGAGAAACAUCGACACGCUC